RNAcentral lists this ribosomal RNA (254 nucleotides) under uncultured bacterium. Its description in RNAcentral is "partial 16S ribosomal RNA". It matches the Rfam family "Bacterial small subunit ribosomal RNA", at positions 524 to 776 of the family's 1533-position model. The record is from RNAcentral.
UACGGAGGGUGCGAGCGUUGUCCGGAAUCACUGGGCGUAAAGGGCGCGUAGGCGGCUCACGCAAGCGUGCGGUGAAAGCCCGGGGCUCAACCCCGGGUCGGCCGUGCGGACUGCGGGGCUCGAGCACUGUAGGGGCAGAUGGAAUUCCGGGUGUAGCGGUGGAAUGCGUAGAGAUCCGGAAGAACACCGGUGGCGAAGGCGGUCUGCUGGGCAGUUGCUGACACUGAGGCGCGACAGCGUGGGGAGCAAACAGG